GAUGGACGCUAGCUACAGGCUUAACACAUGCAGGUCGAGGGGCAGCAUGGGCUUAGCUUGCUAAGCCCGAUGACGACCGGCGCACGGGUGAGUAACACGUAUCCAACCUUCCGGUAACUCCGGUAUAGCCUUUCGAAAGAAAGAUUAAUCCCGGAUAGUAUGGUGACUCCGCAUGGUUUCUCCAUUAAGGGAUUCCGGUUACCGACGGGGAUGCGUUCCAUUAGGCAGUUGGCGGGGUAACGGCCCGCCAAACCUACGAUGGAUAGGGGUUCUGAGAGGAAGGUCCCCCACAUUGGAACUGAGACACGGUCCAA
Molecule: ribosomal RNA, 314 nt
Filed under: uncultured bacterium
Lineage: Bacteria
Description: bacterial SSU rRNA
Rfam family: Bacterial small subunit ribosomal RNA
Source: RNAcentral